Alexandromys fortis (reed vole) is the source of this 1290-nucleotide non-coding RNA. The record is from the annotation of a RefSeq genome assembly. Lineage: Eukaryota; Metazoa; Chordata; Mammalia; Rodentia; Cricetidae.
AACAAGAUCACUGACCUCAGAACCUGACAUCACAGGCAAUGAGCUGAAAGGAGGAGCUGACUCCUGCUCUCACCAGGGAGAGCAGCAUGCUGAGGAGAAGGAUGUGGGGCACUGCCCUCCCUGGCUCUGCCUGGGGCCCCAGCCUGCUCUGCUGUGUCACUGUCUUUCUCCUGGGAACAAGUUCAGCAAGUCCCAGGGUCAUCCAGUCUCCAAGACACAUAAUCAAAAUAAAGGGAGGAAGGUCCAAUCUCAAAUGUAUUCCCAUCUCUGGACAUGACACUGUGGGCUGGUACCAGCAGACUCUGGGACAGGAACUGAAGUUCCUCAUUCAGCAUUUUGAAAAAACAGAGAGAGCAAAAGGAAACAUCCCCAACCGAUUCUCAGUCCAGCAGUUCCGUGACUAUCACUCUGAGAUGAACAUGAGCGCCUUACAGCUGGAGGACUCUGCUGUGUACUUCUGUGCCAGCUCACCACAGCCUCACAGAGUGACAGGCUUUCUGUCCCUUAAUCUUCCUACUUUUGUUGGUGAUGUACUAAAGAAGGUGGGGAAAUACUACACAGCUGCCUUAGCCAAGGUAUAAAAAUGGAUUAAUUCUGUACUCAUCCCCUCUGUCCAGGUGAGCUCACAACAGAAUCCUAAACACAGGGAUGGGCUCCAAGACUCUAAAUGUUCUCACAUAUCUUCCCGGAACUUUCCAGCUCCUAGUCAGUGGUUGGAACCUUACUCUGUGUUAGGUACUUGAGUGUUGGCAUAAGCUAGAGUUUCAUCACAAAGGGAUACAUUAGUGAUCCAUUUGCUGAUGAACAGUUCUAUGUGAUAACAUAAAUUUAUCCAACAUUCUUGUUUAAGAAUAUCAGUUCUAGGAUUGAAACCUACAUCUCUUUGCCUUUGAAAUCAUUGUAUGACUUUCCAUGGAUUCUCUGUGUUGGUCAAAAAUCUUGCAUUGCUCUCUUGUGUUUUAAGAACAGGUGAACUUCUUGUGUUUAUGUUCAGAGUGCUGAUAGGUUAUGAUGUAUAAUAUUAAGCCAGAUCAUGUAUUCUUCUUACAGUUUCAAGAUGUAACUUUCAUUAUCAACAAAAGAAAAUUUGUUACUUAAUCAGGCAACCAAUUUGAAAAAAAUAUAAAGAGAUAUUUAUGGCAGAGGUUUCUCUGUCCAAUGAAAUCAGCGUAUUGUUCAGAACAUUAACACUACUGGGAGAUCAGACCUUAGUUUGGAAAUAAACGCUAUGAGCCUAAGAGCUAUGAAUUUUCAUAUUCCCCACUCCAAAAAUCCAUGUCUUAAAUAGAA